CGUUUUAAUAAUAGUAGCAUUUCCUCGUAUAACAACCGUGCACACCGCGUAACUAUAAAUAAAUAAAUAUUUAUUUCGCGAUAACGAUUAUUACACGAUACCGUCUGUCCGUCUACCGCGACUUGCGAGAAUUCAUAUAGAUAAACAAAUAUUAUAUACAUUUAUUGUACAUAAUAACGCGAGUAACAUACAGUCCUUGGGUUAUAAUUUAUUUGGCCGGUAUACAGUUGUUCGCCGCACUGAAGUCUCGCGAGUUCACGUUGUACUUUUGAAAUUAAAUUUAUUUUAGAUCGUAUAUAUUUCGACUACACAAGUUGAUAGUGAACAGAUGGUUUUUUUCUCUCCUUUUGAUAAAUAAAUGUGGAAUAUCGACGAUUGAUCGCGGUUAUUCGAACGGAGAGCAGCAGAUUAUUGUUCGAGAGGUAUAUUGCGGAUAGAAACACUCGAGUGCCAAGUACACUAAAAAACGUGAUGCCGUCGUCGUGUUAUAUAGUGUCAUAUACACACACACUGCACUAUAUAACAUCGUAAAGUCUAAUGUGACGAACGAUAACUCGGAUAGUCCGCCGCCGCCCCGUUCCUGUGUAUACGGCACGGAGUCAACACAGUCCACGUCAUCUUAUUCGCUCUGCUGCAGUCUCAUCAUCGAGGAGCACAAGUGAUUUCCUAGACGAUGUUAAUUCGAUCGAGACGUCAUCGCGGUGUCGGAACGGAGUCAAUACUGUCAUUCAAAACUCUCACGGACAAUUCAGAAAGACGUUUAAACCGGAACUGGCUCAGACUUAUUCAUAUUUUGGUGAAAUUGUGGAUUGCUAACCUGCGACGUGUCACUAGCAACGAGACUCGUGAUCCUGCUGGAUCGUGUCCAAUGCACAGGGCGUAGCUGAGCGGCGUGCAAAAUGACCGUUUAUCGUUCCAGCGGACAGACGACAACCCUUUACUUAUACACGCUCACAGACGUGUAUAAUAUAUACACACAUAUAAAUACGGCGUACAGCAGCGGCGUGAGUUGUAAAAAUCUGGGAGUGCAAUAAAAAUAACCGAUUCCGGAUUUCGACGUCGUCAUAUAUAUAUAUAUAUAUAUUACAUUAUAUGAGACAACGACCUCGUAGCAGCGGACGAAACGGUAGUGGAGCGGGAAAUAUAUAAACGGCGUUGAACUGGUAAGGGAUGUGGUGGUGGUGAGGAGCGGUCGUUUUUAGAGCCGCUAUCAAUCUUGAGGGACCGACGGCGCCUCGGCUACAUGGCGCCUGACACAACCCUCACGUACACCCACCCCGGCGCUGGAACUUUGGCACAAGAGCGGGAUUCAAAAUAAUUGAAUGAAUCACAGAAUUAAGAUAUCAGAGCCUGCAAUGCAGUAGCCAAGUGUACACCCAGUGUCUAAUAUUACUGAGGACAUGGUUCCUUAACAUUUAUAUUACAAUUUAUUUCUGCCAUAUUAGCUGGGCCGUGAUAUAAUAAACAGAAAUUUCUAAUAUAAUCAAUAUAUUAUAACCAUGUGAAUUCAUAAUAAAUAAUCUGCAAAAUGUUUAUUUUACACGUCAUCAGUCAUUAGUAAUGCAGACUUAUUAGAUAUUACUAUUCACUUCAUAGCAAUACGAUCAUAUUAUGACUGAAUGGUUAGUUACCUAACUUAGUGAAGACACAUGUCAUCCGUUCAACCAGUUCCUGAUUUAAGCAAUUACCUUUGCUAAACGAUUAGUCACACGAGGACCUGAUUGUCAUAUUUUGAAAAAAAAACUCAUUUUAAAGGUUAGAAUAAAAUUCGUACUACUUAUUGCAGAUAAAAGUAAAG
Molecule: long non-coding RNA, 1798 nt
Organism: Aphis gossypii (cotton aphid)
Lineage: Eukaryota; Metazoa; Arthropoda; Insecta; Hemiptera; Aphididae
Exons: 7
Source: RefSeq, a predicted model, not a curated record